RNAcentral lists this ribosomal RNA (490 nucleotides) under uncultured bacterium. Its description in RNAcentral is "bacterial SSU rRNA". It matches the Rfam family "Bacterial small subunit ribosomal RNA", at positions 28 to 533 of the family's 1533-position model. The record is from RNAcentral.
GAUGAACGUUGGCGGCGUGCCUAAUACAUGCAAGUCGAACGAAGACUGUAGUAAUACUGUCUUAGUGGCGAACGGGUGAGUAACGCGUGGGUGACCUGCCCCGAAGUGUGGGAUAACAGUUCGAAAGGAUUGCUAAUACUGCAUAAUAUCCAAGAGAUUAGACGCUUUUUGGAUUAAAGGAGUAAUUCGCUUCGGGAGGGGCCCGCGUCCCAUCAGCUAGUUGGUAAGGUAAUGGCUUACCAAGGCGAUGACGGGUAGGGGACCUGAGAGGGUGGCCCCCACAAUGGAACUGAAACACGGUCCAUACACCUACGGGUGGCAGCAGUAGGGAAUAUUAGUAAUGGGCGAAAGCCUGAACUAGCAACGCCGCGUGUGCGAAGAAGGCCUUCGGGUUGUAAAGGCACUUUUUGAGUAGGAUGAGGAAGGACGGUACGUCUCAGAAUAAGUCUCGGCUAACUACGUGCCAGCAGCCGCGGUAAGAGUGUGUGUA